RNAcentral lists this long non-coding RNA (224 nucleotides) under Ananas comosus (pineapple). Its description in RNAcentral is "long non-coding RNA (ACOM_LNC017285)". The record is from RNAcentral. Lineage: Eukaryota; Viridiplantae; Streptophyta; Magnoliopsida; Poales; Bromeliaceae.
CCUCGUUUCUGAACGAACGUAUCUAGGAGGAAGCCUGAGGUGGUGUAUGUUUUUGCUUUUUGGUGUUGUGAGUCUGUUUUGUUAGAUGUUUAGUAUCUGUAGCUGGAACGUUAGAGGGCUUAAUGACCUGUCUAAACGUAAUGCCGUUAGGGCUGUAGUUUCGAAAUUACGCAAUGCGGUGGUCUGUCUUCAGGAGUCCAAAGUUAGUCAUGUAUCUGGGUCUU